RNAcentral lists this unclassified non-coding RNA (166 nucleotides) under uncultured Ascomycota. RNAcentral describes it as "sequence contains ITS2". Lineage: Eukaryota; Fungi; Ascomycota. The record is from RNAcentral.
CGACUCCUCAAGCUCCUGCUUGGUGUUGGGCGUUGUCUCGUUUUCAGACGAGGGCACGCCUCAAAGUUAGUGGCGGCCACGGCUCGGCCCUAAGUACAAUAGACCCAAUCUUGCUCAGGGAGUUUUCGGGUAUGUAUGCCAGUCGAGAUCUUGCCAUUGUGUCAAA